UAAAAACUCUGAAAAUUUUCAGGCAGAAAAACUCCCAACAAAUCACUAGUUUAUUGAAAUUUCUUAGAGUGAUCUUAAAGUUCCAAGUUCUAAAUUAAAUAUCCAGCUUAUCUAAGGUUGAAAAUGGCUUGAAUUUUCGUUGUGUUUUAGUAGUGGAGGUUUCAGAGGUUUUGGGGGUUAGUUUUGAGUUUAUUUGGGUUCAUUCGAGCUUGAUUUUGGGUGCUUACUGGUGUUGCUCAUCUGAAAUUAAUUCAUGGGCUGCUUGAUAUCAUUUUCUGGGUUCGAAAUUGAUUUUAAGUUGUUGCUGAAUGUUGUUUGAUGCUGCUGACUCUUCCCUUUUCUUACUUUCCUUAAUUUUCAGGUACAUUUUUUGUCUCAAGUGAUGUAUGAAGAUUGAAUCAAAUGUAUUCUCAAGUUUGAAUUGCUACAUGUUUCCCAUGAAUUUCCUAUUGUUUCUACUUUAAUUUUGAUGAAUAGCAUAGUUGUGUAUUUAUUUGGACACUGCCGCAGUUUAU
This 515-nucleotide long non-coding RNA is filed under the name Nicotiana benthamiana. RNAcentral describes it as "long non-coding RNA (NBEN_LNC040479)". Lineage: Eukaryota; Viridiplantae; Streptophyta; Magnoliopsida; Solanales; Solanaceae. The record is from RNAcentral.